GGGGGCGACCGGAAUCGACGGGGAUACUAAAGUCAGCGGUGCAUGUCGAGCUCUCGGGGUCUCGUAAAUCCUCCGGGAAAAUGUAACUGCAAACCAAGAAUUUGCACUCGCAGCUUAAAUAACUGCGACGUUCCUCCACCUGAGGCCCGCGGGGGUGGUCGGAGCGCGAUACAGCGGGCUGGUCCAAAGCUGGUGCUCAGCGGCUGAGGACGAGACAAUACUGGGCUAGUGGCCAGUCUAAGCCAGCCGAUGGGCGUGGGUGGCUGCGAAAUUAAAACGAUCGGCUACACAUGUAGAUCGGUUGUGCUGAAGGUCUUCGGACCGGGCUUCAACUCCCGGCGCCUCCACCA
This is a non-coding RNA of Nitrospirae bacterium RBG_19FT_COMBO_58_9, 350 nucleotides long. NCBI's taxonomy places the organism in Bacteria, Pseudomonadati, Nitrospirota. The record is from Rfam.